Transfer RNA from Pan troglodytes (chimpanzee), 89 nucleotides. It matches the Rfam family "tRNA". Rfam says of the family: Transfer RNA (tRNA) molecules are approximately 80 nucleotides in length. Their secondary structure includes four short double-helical elements and three loops (D, anti-codon, and T loops). NCBI's taxonomy places the organism in Eukaryota, Metazoa, Chordata, Mammalia, Primates, Hominidae. The record is from Rfam.
CCUUCGAUAGCUCAGCUGGUAGAGCGGAGGACUGUAGUACUUAAUGUGUCGUCAUCCUUAGGUCGCUGGUUCGAUUCCGGCUCGAAGGA